This 116-nucleotide ribosomal RNA is filed under the name Pteropus alecto (black flying fox). Lineage: Eukaryota; Metazoa; Chordata; Mammalia; Chiroptera; Pteropodidae. RNAcentral also lists the same sequence under 1 other name. The record is from RNAcentral.
AUCUAUGGCCAUGCUACCCUGAACAAGCCCAAUGUCUGAUCUCGGAAGCUAAGCAGGGUCAGGCCUGGUUAGUACUUGGAUGGGAGACCACCUAGGAAGACCAGGUGCUGUAGGCA